UUGUUUCUGAAGUAUUCGUGGAGCUCUUAUUUUGAACCUACAUUAUUUAUACGGGAGUUCGAUAUUUAGAUACGGUUUAAUCUAUAAGACCGUGAAACAUGGCAAGAUUAAUAAAGUAUCUGUGAGAACACCCACCUAUCGAGAGAUAGGUGUCAAAAUCAGGGCAGCGGUAUUUUGGAGUUUAA
This 185-nucleotide non-coding RNA is filed under the name Clostridium bovifaecis. RNAcentral describes it as "6S RNA". It matches the Rfam family "6S / SsrS RNA". From Rfam's summary of the family: E. coli 6S RNA was the first non coding RNA to be sequenced, but its function was unknown until recently. The record is from RNAcentral. Lineage: Bacteria; Bacillati; Bacillota; Clostridia; Eubacteriales; Clostridiaceae.